Molecule: ribosomal RNA, 434 nt
Filed under: uncultured bacterium
Lineage: Bacteria
Description: partial 16S ribosomal RNA
Rfam family: Bacterial small subunit ribosomal RNA
Source: RNAcentral
AGCGAACGCUGGCGGCAGGCCUAACACAUGCGAGUCGAACGAACCUUUCGGGGUUAGUGGCGGACGGGUGAGUAACACGUGGGAACGUGCCUUUAGGUUCGGAAUAACUCAGGGAAACUUGUGCUAAUACCGAAUGUGCCCUUCGGGGGAAAGAUUUAUCGCCUUUAGAGCGGCCCGCGUCUGAUUAGCUAGUUGGGUGAGGUAAUGGCUCACCAAGGCGACGAUCAGUAGCUGGUCUGAGAGGAUGAUCAGCCACAUUGGGACUGAGACACGGCCCAAACUCCUACGGGAGGCAGCAGUGGGGAAUCUUGCGCAAUGGGCGAAAGCCUGACGCAGCCAUGCCGCGUGAAUGAUGAAGGUCUUAGGAUUGUAAAAUUCUUUCACCGGGGACGAUAAUGACGGUACCCGGAGAAGAAGCCCCGGCUAACUUCGUG